AAUCUACUCCCUCCGUUCGGAAUUACUUGUCUCGGAAAUGGAUGUAUCUAGAACUAAAAUACAUCUAGAUACAUCCAAUUCUACGACAAGUAAUUCCGAACGGAGGAAGUACAUC
Non-coding RNA from Triticum aestivum (bread wheat), 115 nucleotides. The record is from Rfam. NCBI's taxonomy places the organism in Eukaryota, Viridiplantae, Streptophyta, Magnoliopsida, Poales, Poaceae.